CCGCCGCGUGUAGAGAGAGCACGGGGCGUGAAUAGAUAGGGAACGCUGGCGUAGGCCAUGGUUCAGACGCGAAAGGGUUAAGCGUGGAGACCGCGGAGCGCGCGAAGCCGAGCCGCGCAAAGCCGGGAAGCUGCGCAGAUGAGAGAGGCGCGCGGGCUGAAGCGGCGCAGAGCCGGGAACCCGCCGGCGGGGCGAGGUGCCGGGAAGCUGCGGGGAUAAGAGAAACAGAAGUUUGGAAGUGAAGUAAAAGAGAAAUGGGAAUGCUGGAAGAUAGAAGUGAAAUGGGAGAGGUAGGAAUGCCCGGAGAUAGAGAAAUAGAGAAAAAUAAGGCCUCCCCUCAACAUGCCAAUUAGAAGGCUUGGAUUCGGUCUGCCCGAUUAGUGAGGCGAUGAGCACCUGGGCGGCUAGCCGCAGGUCACCGAAGACAGGCACGAAUUAACAUCAGUAAAGCUUCCCCACAAUGCAACAAUUAGGAAGCUUGGAUUCGGUCUGCCUGAUUUAAGGCGGUAAGCGCCAGCAAAGCUCGACCAGAGUAUGAGCUGCAGGUCACCGAAGAUAGGCACGAACCAACACUAAUAAGUCUCCCCCACAAUAAGGCAAUGAGAAGGCUUGGAUUCGGUUUGCCUGAUAGGACUUGUAAGAGCCUGUGGCAACUCUAGCAAGUAGAGCAGAGUGUGUACCGCGGGACACCGAAGACAGGCGUGUAUCAACGCUAAAAAAUAAAAAGAAAGGGGGAUCUGUGGGGAGCAAUCCGGACUAGACUAAGUUACUCGAAUUGGGACUUAUUCUAUGCAUCUGCUCUCCCACAAUAUGGCGCUGGGAGAGAAGUAAACAGCUUCCGCACAGCUGCCUCCAGUUCAACCAAUUAACUGUAGGACUUGCUCCUGAUUGGAGAGCAGCGUACUCGGCGUGUGGGCAGCCGAGUUGGGAUUGGCGGAAGAGGACUAUAAAGGAGGAGAGAGACGGCAUGCACCAGGAACAUCUAUGGGGAACAUCUAGCUGAAGGAACACCUGUGCAGCCCCCGAGAAAAGCCGGCCGGCGGUGUGCCGCUCCCCUGCGGAAGUGGGGAAUGUGGCCAGGGGGAACUGCCCUUCCACGGAGGUGGAAGGGAUAGUAGCCAACCCGGGAAGAACCAGCAGCAAACCCGGGGAGGGCCGAGCAGACGAAAGAACAGCGCAGGGUCCUGUGUCGUUCCUCCACGAAGAGGGGGAGCGACAGUUACCUUUAUU
This is a non-coding RNA of Oryctolagus cuniculus (rabbit), 1230 nucleotides long. The record is from RefSeq and is a predicted model, not a curated record. NCBI's taxonomy places the organism in Eukaryota, Metazoa, Chordata, Mammalia, Lagomorpha, Leporidae.